GAGGGUACAGCUCAGUGGUAGAGUGCCUGCUUAGCAUGCAUGAGGUCCUGGGUUCAAUCCCCAGUACCUCCA
This 72-nucleotide transfer RNA is filed under the name Camelus bactrianus (Bactrian camel). It matches the Rfam family "tRNA". From Rfam's summary of the family: Transfer RNA (tRNA) molecules are approximately 80 nucleotides in length. Their secondary structure includes four short double-helical elements and three loops (D, anti-codon, and T loops). Lineage: Eukaryota; Metazoa; Chordata; Mammalia; Artiodactyla; Camelidae. RNAcentral also lists the same sequence under 2 other names. The record is from Rfam by way of RNAcentral.